Homo sapiens (human) is the source of this 2731-nucleotide long non-coding RNA. Ensembl annotates it as zinc finger family member 767, pseudogene. Its record names the gene ZNF767P. The record is from Ensembl. NCBI's taxonomy places the organism in Eukaryota, Metazoa, Chordata, Mammalia, Primates, Hominidae.
GGGAGGCGGGCCCUGCGUGGGGCCGCGCGCAGCAGCGGCGACGACUUUAUCUGGGCCGCGGGGGACAGCGCAGGGCCAUGGAGGAGGCGGCCGCAGCUCCGAUUUCUCCGUGGACGAUGGCAGCCACGAUUCAGGCCAUGGAGAGGAAGAUUGAAUCGCAGGCUGCUCACCUGCUUUCCCUAGAAGGUCAAACCGGGAUGGCCGAGAAGAAGCUGGCUGAUUGCGAGAAGACAGCCGUGGAGUUCGGGAACCAGCUGGAGGGCAAGUGGGCCGUGCUGGGGACCCUGCUGCAGGAGUACGGGCUGCUGCAGAGGCGGCUGGAGAACGUGGAGAACCUGCUGCACAACAGGAACUUCUGGAUCCUGCGGCUGCCCCCGGGCAGCAAGGGGGAGUCCCCUAAGACUACGCCAUCUCCAAGUCCGAGGUCCUCUCCCAGAUUGAACAAGGGAAGGAGCCCUGCAACUGGCGCCGCCCUGACCCCAAGAUUCCAGAUGUUCCUGUGGACCCCAGUCCAGCUGUUGUUGCUUUUAACUCCAUGGAGAGACCGAAUGGAGUGAGCCCAGCAGGGCAUGCUGGGCAAGAGAGGUCCCCCGAGUCCCAAAUAAGAAUUUCAACUAGUAUAAAACGAGGCAGCGAACCCACACGUGGAAGUCUGAUACCGCUUGCAGAAGGGAAUUGAAUAGAUGUCUCCCUAUUGGUAAGGAUGUGGUUUUAUUGACUUGAAAUAACAAAGCCCGCAAGCAACAACUGAUCAUCCGCGGGAUGCUGCCACAAGGAAUAAUUGAGCACUCAUUCAGACACAGGGGAAACCACUGCCUCUUUCAGUCUUUCUCCCAGAUUCCAACAGUCAGUGUUACAGCAUUUCACCUUGUUCACCUCCCUGAGAAGACGUUGCAGCUCACUCACCCCAGUGGGCACUGGGAGCCUCUGCUCAGGUGGGAGACAGAUGCCCCCCACAUGCACAUCUGGUGUUUAUGAAGCAGAUACUGGGGCUUCAUAAACACAGAAGGGGCAGGGAAGUAGCCCCAGGGCAUAGUGUGGGGCCUCCUGACUAAAAGUAGCUUGCAAACCCCUGCCUAUAACAGCCACUUCCUGGCAGUCAUUGUGCCACUUAGGAGCCCUCCUCACCGCUCUUCCUUUAGUUCCUUCACUCUGUAUAGACCCUGCCAGAGCAGCUCAGGGUGGAGCAGCUGCAGCCAUGGGACCUGCUCCAGGCAAGGCCCUAUGCUACACAGUCCCUGGGGGUGAGGAUUCCAGAGGAGUCAAUUCCCUACCCGCCCUUCCAGGGGAUGGCCGAGAUGAGCGUUCCCACAGGGAAAGUGAAAGUUGCAAGGCUGUUGCGGAAACACCAGGGGUUCCAUCUAGGUCUUGCUGCUCAUCUCACAGAAAGCCAGUCACUGAGACAAGUAUUGUCAGGGAAGAAGGCUUUAUCCAGGUGCUACAGACAGGGUGAACAAGAGAUCAGUCUCAAAUCCAUCAUCAUCAACUGACUAAAAUUAGGGGUUUAUAUAGCAGGGAAGAAAUGUAACUACAUGUGGGAAAACAGGGAUUAACGAGGGGCAAGGAAGAGGAGUUGGCCAACAGGCAGCAGGUGGUCACCUGGGGAAUCAUGAUGGGUGAGGGGUCUGGCUUCUCACUUUCCAGAUGUGGGGAUCUGGUAAAUUUCAGUUUCUUGAUACCGUCUGGGAGGAUUGCUGGCUGGUUUCCUGAGAAAGGAAUUCAGAUGACAUAAAUGUAAAUUUCUCCUUGGGUUUCAAGACUGAGAGGGUCAAUUUCUAGGUUUAUUCAAGAAAAACCAUAAACAUCAGUUCUAUGGGACAAUUGGGCCCAUUUCAAGGCUCUGAGGAUAAGGGUUAAUGAGGGGACAGAGUCGCCUGGAGAAGUUCACUGGGGCCUACAAGAAACUAGAGAGGCUUCCUGGCAAAGCUCUAUGCUGUCUAUCCUCUCUUCUCUCCUUGCAGGAAGAUUCCAGUAUAAUAGACCCGAGGUGAAAAGGCUUUUGUUCAAUAAGUAGAAAACUGAAGGGGGGUGGGAGGCACAUGGAUUUGAACCAGAGACCGCUUGGCCUGCAGGCAAAUGCUGUACCUUCAGUUGCACCCCUCACUUGUUACAGCUGUUUCUGAUAAGCACUUGUGCAGCCCCAUCAGCACCUCGAUUUCUUCUUGGUGAGUCCAUGGGAACAGCCCCACUGCAAACAACCCAUUCCUGCUCUCCUCUUUCCUCUAAACCUCAACCUCCUCCUACCUGGCAGUCCACAGGCCUACAGCUUCUCCUCAGUGGGAAAGACAUCAGCUUGGAAAACCACUUGGAAAGCCAACGUUAUCCUAGAAAAGCUUUUUAAAUGACCCAGCAGGACAAGUCUCCGGAUGGCCUUGGCCAACCCGGUGCUUCCCUCUUUUCUUGGUUGUAGUUCUCAGAAUAACUAGAGAAUGUACUGGGAGUGUUGUCCUGAGAUAAGGAGGAACUGUCCUAAACCUGGACUCUGUUCCCAUCACACCUAGAACAGGAUGUCCUGCAACGCUUUAGCCCAAUGAUCCAAGUUGCCCUUGGGGUAUAAAACUUGACAGCAGAGGGCGUUCAGGGUCCCUCAGCUGCAGUGUGAAGUGGGACACACAGGUGAGACUCCAUCUGCCCUGGGCAGGUUCCUGAGCCUUGGGGGACCAGUUCACCCUACAUCCCAGGCUUCUGUUGUCCCUUGCCUGCCUGUAAGGAAUAAAGUUGCUUUGCUUAA